AUACGGAGGGUGCAAGCGUUGUUCGGAAUUAUUGGGCGUAAAGGGCGUGUAGGUGGCUUGCCAAGUCUGGUGUGAAAUCCCACGGCUCAACCGUGGAACUGCAUUGGAAACUGGUAAGCUCGAGUAUUGGAGGGGGUCGCGGAAUUCCCGGUGUAGAGGUGAAAUUCGUAGAUAUCGGGAGGAACACCAGUGGCGAAGGCGGCGACCUGGCCAUUUACUGACACUGAGACGCGAAAGCGUGGGGAGC
Molecule: ribosomal RNA, 247 nt
Filed under: uncultured bacterium
Lineage: Bacteria
Description: partial 16S ribosomal RNA
Rfam family: Bacterial small subunit ribosomal RNA
Source: RNAcentral